UUGGUACUCCUUCCGUCCAAAAAUACCUGUCAUCAAAAUAAAUAAAAGGGGAUGUAUCUAGAUGUAUUUUAGUUUUAGAUACAUCACUUUUUGUUUAUUUUGAUGAUAAGUAUUUUCGGACGGAGGGAGUACGUA
Molecule: non-coding RNA, 135 nt
Organism: Triticum urartu
Lineage: Eukaryota; Viridiplantae; Streptophyta; Magnoliopsida; Poales; Poaceae
Source: Rfam